CCCCUCGUGCCUUUAUCCCACGCUGCCCUUCAAUUUCCCCCAUUUUUUACCACAAAAAAAAAAAAAAUUUAGAAAAGAACUAGCAAAAUCUCCUUAAAUCAAAGAAGAAACUACACUUCGCCCUCUAUUUUCCUCCUUUUUUAACCAGCAAAAACUUCAAUUAAUGUUUGAAAAAAAAAAGAUUAAAAGAAGGGAGUGGUGGAUUUUUAUGAAGAAGAGAAAAAAAGUGGAAGCAAAUAUGUUGUCGUUGUGUUGAGGAACAGAGAGUGGAGGGCUGUUUGGUUAUAUUUGCCGAAGCUUGAAGCUUUUUCGGUGGUGGACGGACUAUGGUUGUUGGAGAGCCUCGUCCGAGAUAGAGCUCGCCAUUAAUGGAAGAAAAUAAAGCACAAGGUGCUCUUUUUGAUUAUGUUUAGUUGCAUUUUGAAAUAAAAAAUCAGUGAGUUGGAGGAGGGUGAGAAAAAAUUGAUGGUUGUUGGGAUGGUAGGUUGGUGGUUGUGGGUUGAAAAAGGUGGAGAUGGUGGUGUGGGUUGCAGGAAGUGGAGGAAAGGUGACUAGGUGAGAGAAGAGAAAUAUGAUUUUAUUUUUAAAAAUAAAAUUUAAAAUUAUUAUUUUGCUUUUUAUUUAAUAUUAUUAAUUAAUAAUUUUUUAAAAUAAUUGAUUAAGAUUUAGAAAAGAACUAGCAAAAUCUCCUUAAAUCAAAGAAGAAACUACACUUCGCCCUCUAUUUUCCUCCUUUUUUAACCAGCAAAAACUUCAAUUAAUGUUUGAAAAAAAAAAGAUUAAAAGAAGGGAGUGGUGGAUUUUUAUGAAGAAGAGAAAAAAAGUGGAAGCAAAUAUGUUGUCGUUGUGUUGAGGAACAGAGAGUGGAGGGCUGUUUGGUUAUAUUUGCCGAAGCUUGAAGCUUUUUCGGUGGUGGACGGACUAUGGUUGUUGGAGAGCCUCGUCCGAGAUAGAGCUCGCCAUUAAUGGAAGAAAAUAAAGCACAAGGUGCUCUUUUUGAUUAUGUUUAGUUGCAUUUUGAAAUAAAAAAUCAGUGAGUUGGAGGAGGGUGAGAAAAAAUUGAUGGUUGUUGGGAUGGUAGGUUGGUGGUUGUGGGUUGAAAAAGGUGGAGAUGGUGGUGUGGGUUGCAGGAAGUGGAGGAAAGGUGACUAGGUGAGAGAAGAGAAAUAUGAUUUUAUUUUUAAAAAUAAAAUUUAAAAUUAUUAUUUUGCUUUUUAUUUAAUAUUAUUAAUUAAUAAUUUUUUAAAAUAAUUGAUUAAGAUAAUUAUGAUUUGACAUUAAUUUCUGUGAUGUAGAUCUAACAUAUCGUUGAUUUUUUGGCAAGUGAGUUACAUAUAUGGUAGAAAGGGUUUAAAAAUCUUGUGUUUUAAUAGGU
This 1375-nucleotide long non-coding RNA is filed under the name Capsicum annuum. RNAcentral describes it as "long non-coding RNA (CANN_LNC020805)". The record is from RNAcentral. Lineage: Eukaryota; Viridiplantae; Streptophyta; Magnoliopsida; Solanales; Solanaceae.